GAGCUAUCAAUCUGUCAAUCCUUCUGGUGUCCGGGCCUGGUGAGAUUUCCCGUGUUGAGUCAAAUUAAGCCACAGGCUCCACUCCUGGUGGUGCCCUUCCGUCAAUUACUUUAAGUUUCAGCUUUGCAACCAUACUUCCCCUGGAACCCACAAGCUUUGGUUUCCCGGAAGCUCCCUGACAAGUCAAAAAUAAAACGCCGUCAGAUCGCUAGCUGGCAUCGUUUAUGGUUAGAACUAGGGCGGUAUCUAAUCGCCUUCGAACCUCUAACUUUCGUUCUUGAUUAAUGAAAACAUUCUUGGCAAAUGCUUUCGCAGUAGUUUGUCUUCAAACGGUCCAAGAAUUUCACCUCUGUCGUUUGAAUACAAAUGCCCCCGACUGUCCCUAUUAAUCAUUAAGUCGAUUUCCGAAAACCAACAAAAUAGAAACGACUUCCUAUUCUAUUAUUCCAUGCACGAAUAUUCAAGCAAUCAAGCUUGCUUUGAGCACUCUAAUUUUUUCAAAGUAAACCUGUCAGUUCUAACAGACAAUCGGCGAAGAUCACCCGUUAAAUUCUGGCAAAACACACGGGUAAAAAAGUCAGUAUUGAAGCAAUUCAAACCAACCUAUACCCGCCGAAAUCCAACUACGAGCUUUUUAACCACAACAACUUUAAUAUACGCUAUUGGAGCUGGAAU
This 675-nucleotide ribosomal RNA is filed under the name uncultured metazoan. RNAcentral describes it as "partial 18S ribosomal RNA". Lineage: Eukaryota; Metazoa. The record is from RNAcentral.